This is a non-coding RNA of Firmicutes bacterium CAG:466, 190 nucleotides long. NCBI's taxonomy places the organism in Bacteria, Bacillati, Bacillota. The record is from Rfam.
AACAUCCUGAGAUGCUCGAUAGCCCAUCGUUAUUGAACCUACAUGACUGAAAAGGGAUUCCUAUAAGCUGAAGUGAUGUCAGGCCUCAAGAUAAUUCCCUUUGGGCGGAGGAAGGCUGAGACUUUAGCUGCGGUUGCCCACCUGGCUUAGGCUAGGUGUCAAGAGAUGGGAACGGCAUUUCGGGAUCUCC